CCGGUUGAUCCUGCCAGAGGCUACUGCUAUCGGGGUCCGACUAAGCCAUGCGAGUUGAGAGGGGUAAGCCCUCGGCAUAUUGCUCAGUAACACGCGGAUAACCUGCCCUUGGGUGUGGGAUAACCCCGGGAAACUGGGACUAAUACCGGAUAGAUCAAAGAUACUGGAAUGUUCUUUGGUUGAAAGCUCCGGCGCCCAAGGAUGGGUCUGCGGCCUAUCAGGUAGUAGUGGGUGUAACGUACCUACUAGCCUACGACGGGUAAGGGUUGUGAGAGCAAGAGCCCUGAGAUGGAUUCUGAGACAUGAAUCCAGGCCCUACGGGGUGCAGCAGGCGCGAAAACUUUACACUGCGGGAAACCGCGAUAAGGGGACCCCGAGUGCCAGCACCUAGUGCUGGCUGUCCAGCUGUUCAAAAAACAGUUGUUAGCAAGGGCCGGGCAAGACCGGUGCCAGCCGCCGCGGUAACACCGGCGGCCCGAGUGGUAGCCGUUAUUAUUGGGUUUAAAGGGUCCGUAGCCGGCCUAUUAAGUCUCUUGGGAAAUCUGGCGACUCGAUCGUCAGGCGUUCAAGAGAUACUGGUAGGCUUGGGACCGGGAGAGGUGGGAGGUACUCCAGGGGUAGGGGUGAAAUCUCGUAAUCCUUGGGGGACCACCGAUGGCGAAGGCAUCCCACCAGAACGGGUCCGACGGUGAGGGACGAAAGCUGGGGGCACGAACCGGAUUAGAUACCCGGGUAGUCCCAGCUGUAAACGAUGCUCGCUAGGUGUCAGGUGCGGUGCGACCGCAUCUGGUGCCGCAGUGAAAACUUGAAGCGAGUCACCUGGGAAGUACGGUCGCAAGGCUGAAACUUAAAGGAAUUGGCGGGGGAGCAC
This 871-nucleotide ribosomal RNA is filed under the name uncultured archaeon. RNAcentral describes it as "bacterial SSU rRNA". It matches the Rfam family "Archaeal small subunit ribosomal RNA", at positions 4 to 879 of the family's 1478-position model. The record is from RNAcentral.